ACCACCGAUCUAUAUGUAUGUGAUCCAGUAUCUUUUAAAUUCUUCAAUGUUUUCUUUUUGAACUUUGUAGUUGUAGCUUUCAAAUAGUUUCAGGAUGUUUCUUCAGGAAGUUCAUUAUAGGUUGGAAAAUCUAACGAAAGAACAUGAAAUUCCAAGACCUAGAGUUGCGAGAUGCAGAGAUUACGAGAAACGCUAGCAUCCGAAAGGAGCUCUGAAAAUCUUCCUGGCAUAAUCGUGCAGAGAUUGAAAAUCUUCUUGCUAAUAUGGAAGAACUUCAAUCUUCGAAUAAUGAAAAGGAUUGCACAAAAAGCAGGCUUAGAAAGUAAGUUGGAAAAGAUUGAGGUUGAUUCUAGAAAAAUUAAACGAUGAAAUUGGUAGAAUCUUUCAUGAGUUGGAAGUCUCAAGAAAGCAUACUGGCGCAUCGGUGUUAAACCGAUGCACAUCUGGCUAGAAAACCUAUGGAUUAGGAGUGAAGGAAAAAGAAAAGGCAUCUUCUGCACAAGCACCUCGUGGCAAUGGAGAUUCUGGAAAGGAGGACGGGAGCUUAAAACAGAAGAAAGACGUCGAAAGUGAAUCAAAGACCCCUUUCAAAUCUCUCAAAUUAAGGAGCAGUAUGCAUGUGGAACAACGCAAAGCCAAAGCAUCACAGCCUAAUAAUAAUAGGGUCUCCAUAUUGAUGGAAACCAUUUAGAGUGGAAGUAAGGCUGAUAAGAUAUCAAAACCAACAACACCACCAGCAACGCCGCCGCACCCCAAGGUGAGGCAGCGGUGCCUUCUGCGACGUAUACCGGCUCGAGCUUUGUUCUCGGAGUGAUGAUUACAAGACGACCAUAUCUAACAAUCGAGUUUCCAACAAACACAAACACUAGAGAUAGCAAAAUGACCAAGAUUCCAAGAACAGCAAGCAGAGGCCUUGGCGGAGGAGCUAUGGAGGCCAAGGCCUGCUCUGCCCAUCCUUGUUUCCA
Molecule: non-coding RNA, 965 nt
Organism: Cucurbita pepo subsp. pepo (vegetable marrow)
Lineage: Eukaryota; Viridiplantae; Streptophyta; Magnoliopsida; Cucurbitales; Cucurbitaceae
Source: RefSeq, a predicted model, not a curated record